AUAUGUAAAUUUGAUUUUGGUUUGGUUUUUAAUUUUUAUGGUUUUAUACAUGUUAGGUUUUUUGGUAGUUUAUAAGGUUUCGUGGAAUUUUUAUUAUCAUCAUGCUUUUAUAGUUGAUUUAAUAUUUUAUAUAUUAAUAUGGUGGUUAUUUAUUAAAUAAUAUUUAAUAUAAAUUAUAAGGUUUUCAGUAUAUAUAUUUAUACAAUGGAUGCGAGUUUUAUAUAGAGAUUGUAAGUAAUGAUUGGAUAAAUUUGUGCCAGCAUCUGCGGUUAUACAUAUAAUCAGAGUUAAAAAUAUUUGGUUUAAAUUAAAGUUAAAUAUAUUUUAGGUGAUGGGAUUAAUAUAGUUAAUUUUUUGGUAAAAUAUAUAAUUAAUUUGUUUACAAUUCUUCUCUUUAUUAUUGAUUCUUUGAAAUUUUGAAAAUAAACUAGGAUUAGAUACCCUAUUAUUUUAAAGUGUAAAAAUUGAUUUUAUUUACCUAAGUAUUAUGAAGAUAAAUAUUGUUUAUUAUCAAUUUUUAUUUAAAACUUAAAAAGUUUGGCGGUUUUACAUAUCCAGUUAGGGGAGUCUGUUAAUAUAAUUUGAUAAUCCACAUUUUAAACUAAUUUUUUUUUGAUAUUAUAAUUAUUUUUAUAUAAUUUAUAACAGUUUAUAUAUUGCUGUCGUCAGUUUAUAUUUUAAGAAUUAAAGAACUAGUGAAUAUUUUAUAUUGUUAUGUCAAGUCAUAAUGUAGCUGAUGAAAAAGGUUUAAUGGACUACUUUAAUUGAUUUUAUUUGUUAAUCCGGAUAAUGAAGAUUAUAUUUUAUUAGUAAGGUGGACUUAAUAGUAAAUUAAUGAUUAGUAUGCAUUGUUGAAUAUUGGUUUUGUAAAAUGUACAUAUCGCCCGUCACUCUUGUUGUUUAAAUAAGAUAAGUCGUAACAUAGUAGAGGUAAUGGAAAUUGUUUCUGGAAUAAUAUAUAUU
RNAcentral lists this non-coding RNA (963 nucleotides) under Amphioctopus marginatus. Lineage: Eukaryota; Metazoa; Mollusca; Cephalopoda; Octopoda; Octopodidae. The record is from RNAcentral.